CCUGGACCUCACCCAUUCUUCUCCCUUCCCAUCCUCCUUAAUCUUAUGUUUGGCCUAAAGAAAGAAUCAUGGUAAAACAUCCAAAACCCUCAAGACUGGCCGAGGGAACACAGGAAGAUUGCUGAAUUCCUGGUAAUAUUAUGGUUCCUGAGUCUUCUGCCGUGCUUCUUUGCUCCAAUUGGUAUCAUCCCAAUAUAUGUGUAUUCACUUGCGCUUUAUGGGUUUAUGCACUUCUUUCUUAUCAACCCCCCAAAAAACUUUCUACUAUAAAUCCAGAUUUUGGUUGUUUAAACUUCUGAACCAGAAUUUUGCAACAGAAAUACAUACAGAGUGCGAGCCACUGUUCAGUGCAUUCCUGCUUGGCUUCGCUUCAUCCAGUGCCUGUGCUGGUACCGUGACACAAGAAGAGCCUUUCCUCUUCCAGUAAAUGCUGCCUGGCAAAUACUCUACGACUUUCUUCACCCUGACAUUUCCAGCCCUUUACAACACUCACAAAGACCCAGUUUUUGCCACUGACUGUUGCAUGUGGAGUUGAAAGAAGAUGUGCAGUGGAGCAGCAAUACACAGUGUCAUGCAGAUAGAAUGUAUGCAACCUGGAAAGGGUAGAGAACAACACAGUUUACACCAGGAAGAAGUGAUAAAUUGUGAGUGUCUAUUAUUUUAACAUAUACCUAGGUGUAAGUUUAUAUGCCUUACCAUUUAAUAAUGAUUGUGUCAGCAAACAGUUAUGUAUCUUAUGAGAUAAGACAUACUGAAUCCAGUUUUUCUAGACCUGCAAGGUAUCAGGUCUUUCUGACUGUGCAAUUCUGGUGUCAGUAAAAGUGUGAGCAUUUAUUUGACUAAAAUAAUGAUCCUAAGGUCCAAGAAGGCAUUCAGAAAUCAAGGCCUAUGUCUCUUCCAAUGUUAUUUCAAAUGGUUACAAACUAUCUUGUGUGUUGUCUUAUGUCUUAUAAACCCUAUAUAAACAACAUUUUUUUUUCUUUUUUUCGGAGCUGGAGACCGAACCCAGGGCCUUGCACUUCCUAGUCAAGUGUUCUACCGCUGAGCUAAAUCCCCAACCCCAACAACAAUUUUUUAAACAUAACACACUUUUAUACCUUAAACCUUUUCAAAAAUGUCUUCAACCUUGAAUGACAUCACUUUAUCCUCCUAGCAUUCGCACUAUUGUAUAUUUCUUUUUCUAGAAAUAUCACAAAUGCUGCGGGCGUCCAUUUCCUUCUGUGGGAAACUCCCAUUCUCCUUGAUGUUUUUGCAGCUCUUUGUAGUUCAUUUGAACUCAGCUUCACUUAUGUAGUAAACGUCUGUUACUCAGCAAAUUAUCAGUUACCCUGGUAUCAUUCCAUACUCAACUCACUAAUAACUUUAAAAUGAUCUGUAAAUACUUGUUUAAUAGGACAAAUUGUGGAGAAUGCAUGAGACAGUAUGAGAAACUGACCAAAAUUUAAAACUUUUUGAGGUUAGAUGAUGUGAUCAUUAUUUUUCCUGGUAACGCAGAACCAGUUUAUUGGAUAUCUAGCCAUAUCUUGUAACUGGAGAACAUCAUGGGGACUCAAGAAGUUACCAGAGGAUGAUUUCAGAGAACAAAUGGCACUCAAAACCAAAAAGUUCAAAUUGUAUAACUAUGUUUACAAAUUAUUUUUAUUCUGAUUUGAUGUGCUUUAUUGUGUUCUCGGAAUAAAGCCAAAAGUUUCCAGCAUAAAGACAGAUUAGCCUUUGUAUGGGUGAUGCCUCAGUUGGGGGAAGCGGGGAGUGAAAGGCAUGGAUCUCUGUAGCUUGAGGGAAGCUCGGCUCCAUGAACAUAAAGGGCAAGAAAGUGCCUCAUCACAGCCUCUGUUGUGUUCUCAGCUCUUUCUCUGGAGUCCUCUGUGCUCCUGAAGGCUAAGCAUUGAUGAUCCAGUGUGUGAAGGAGGCUCUAAAGUAAAAAAACACCCCAGGUGCUCUUGGAGAGAAAGUGGUGCAGGAUCUUCCUGUGGUUCUGCAUUGUUUUUUCCUCCCAAUCUUUUACCCUAAGCUGUCACCUAGUAUUAGAAGUUUAAAUUUCAUGUUUAGACAUCCAAAGAGUACACUGAAAUGUUGCAGACCCCUAGUAAACAUUUGUAUAAUUUUGUUUAUGGUUAGUUCAAUGAUUCUAAUGGCACAUCAAAGAAGUCAUAUUU
Molecule: non-coding RNA, 2156 nt
Organism: Rattus norvegicus (Norway rat)
Lineage: Eukaryota; Metazoa; Chordata; Mammalia; Rodentia; Muridae
Source: RefSeq, a predicted model, not a curated record